AGCGAACGCUGGCGGCGUGCUUAACACAUGCAAGUCGAGUGCGUAGCCCUUUGUAGCAAUACAGAGGGUGGGCGCACGGCGCACGGGUGAGUAACACGUGGGUAACCUGCCCUUCGGUGGGGAAUAACCCCGCGAAGCGGGGCGUAAUUCCGCAUAACAUUCCGGGGACACAUGUUCUCGGACUCAAAGGAGUGAUUCGCCGGAGGAGGGGCCCGCGCCCGAUUAGCUUGUUGGUAGGGUAACGGCCUACCAAGGCUUUGAUCGGUAGCCGGUCUGAGAGGAUGGCCGGCCACACUGGAACUGAGACACGGUCCAGACUCCUACGGGAGGCAGCAGUGGGGAAUCUUGCGCAAUGGGCGAAAGCCUGACGCAGCGACGCCGCGUGGGGA
RNAcentral lists this ribosomal RNA (389 nucleotides) under uncultured bacterium. Its description in RNAcentral is "bacterial SSU rRNA". It matches the Rfam family "Bacterial small subunit ribosomal RNA", at positions 28 to 407 of the family's 1533-position model. The record is from RNAcentral.